Molecule: long non-coding RNA, 302 nt
Organism: Vollenhovia emeryi
Lineage: Eukaryota; Metazoa; Arthropoda; Insecta; Hymenoptera; Formicidae
Exons: 2
Source: RefSeq, a predicted model, not a curated record
ACUUUUCUGUAAGAGCAGAAAUUUCGCAUACGUUUCUCCUUCGAACAAAUUCAAGAAUCGAGCCCCAGAGAGCAGAUCGAGAGUAUUCGGAAAGUAUCUGAUUGCUUUACAUAAUUUUUGUGCUUGCUUGUGUUAUAAUUUUGUCAUUUUUAUCACUUCCACGAAAGAAGCAAUGUCAUUGAAAUUCAAAUGUGGAUAUUGUGGCUGGAUUCUUUGGGACAAAAAUGGGACAAUAUCACAUGGUUGCUUUAAAAAUUGUAAAGAGUUAAUAAUGGACGAAGAUAGAAAUCUCUUUAGAAAAG